UUUUUUGUUUGGUUUGACCACACCAUAGAUGGCUUCCUACGUACUCCUAUUGAUGGGGGGAGAUCAGGUAUUUCAUAGUUCAGGCCUAGUAGUAAAGACUUGAAUUGCUUGGAUCCCGGGUCACCAGAAUGGCGGUUUGUGGGUGAUUUAGACAUAGUACCUUUUCACGGUGUCUAAAUUAAUGAGCUGGGGGAAUUCUUCCCUAUCCAUUUCUUGCAAUCGAAUGGCUCCUCCUGUCAACACUUCCUUGACAAUGAACGGGCCUUUCCAGUUUGGGGAGAAUUUUCCUUUAGCUUCAUCUUGAUUGGAGAGGAUCUUCUUCAGAACUAAGUCAUUUUCUUUGAAUUGCAUAAUCCGUACCUUCUUGUUUUAGGACUUAGUAAUCCUUUGCUGAUAAAACUGACCAUGGAAGAUGGCUGCCGCCCUUUUCUCAUCUAUCAGAGAUAAUUGGUGAUACCACUCUUACAUCCAUUAGUCUUCUUCCAUUUGAGUGUCUAUCAAUACUCUUAAUGAUUCCAUUUCAACUUCUAUAGGGAGUAUUGCUUCCAUGCCAUAGACCAAUGAGUAGGAGGUAGUCUCAGUAGAAGUGCGCAUUGACG
This 599-nucleotide long non-coding RNA is filed under the name Panax ginseng (ginseng). RNAcentral describes it as "long non-coding RNA (PGIN_LNC003646)". The record is from RNAcentral. Lineage: Eukaryota; Viridiplantae; Streptophyta; Magnoliopsida; Apiales; Araliaceae.